This 107-nucleotide small nuclear RNA is filed under the name Zalophus californianus (California sea lion). Lineage: Eukaryota; Metazoa; Chordata; Mammalia; Carnivora; Otariidae. The record is from RNAcentral. RNAcentral also lists the same sequence under 1 other name.
GUGCUCACUUCGGCGGCACAUAUACUAAAACUGGAAUGACUCAGAGAAGAUUAGCAUGGCCCCUGUGCAAGGAUGACUUGCUAAGUCGUUGACUGUAUGUUCUCUGA